CUUUGGGUAAGUAUUGGGUAGCAGGUUUGAGAAAUCAGCUUGGUUCAAAGUAUCAUUAGUGUGGAAGGCCAGAAGAAAGGAAUAUGUUGAUGAGCCAUGGAGUAGCUUUGGGUGCGGUUGGUAAAAUGGUUCGGUGUAUCAAGGAUGUAUGAGAUUGGAAGAAGGGAAGUGGUGCACGGUUUGAAGCUUAAGUUAAGAAAGAAUUAAAUAAACCAAGGGAAAUCGUUAUUUGCAAAGGAAGUAGAAGAAGAAGAGUUUGAGAGGUAGUUGUAUGAGGCGUAGAGCAUAUUUAAGGGUGUGCAAUAAAAGGUGAAAUUCCUAAGAUAAAGAGAACAUGAAGUCUGUGAGGAAAAAAUUGAAGUGUUGUGGGCUAUGGGUAUUCAAAGUUCAUAGGAUUAAAGGUAGGAUUGGUAUUUUGAUGAUUCUGAAUUGAGGAAGGUGAUUUUGGGACAAGGUUGUAAACUACGUUGGCAAUGAAAAGUACAAGAGGAAUUCUAAGUGAAUAUGGUAUUUGGGGAGUCGCCGUAAGAGCUCAGGUUUGAGGUUUAUAAGAAGUAAUUUCUUGGCAAGAAAGAAAAGCAAGGAUGAUGCAUCAGGUAUUGUUUAGUGAAACAUGGUGGCAGGUGUAUUGGGAAUCCAAGAGGUUUGAUAAGCUUGAGUGAAAAAGAUAUGAUGUCGUCUUUCCGAAGUCUAAGGUGUGAUUACAAGAGAGGUUUGUUUGUCUUCAAAUUGUUUCGGGUGGUUAUGGCCUUCAAAAGAAGUACUGUGCUUUGAGAUGAAGAAGCCUGGUUAUGCAUUAGAAGUGGGUCAAGUAUGAAGGAGAAAACGAAGGGUUGUAGGAGUCAGAAUAUGUUAGCAAGGAUACGUGGAGAAGUGGUGGAUUGGUUAGAGCAAUAGUGUUUGGACACAGUGUAAUGGAAGAGAGAACUACAAGGUUGAAGAGUCUCAAAAGGAAAGUAGAAGGCAAGUUGAAAUAUUUUAGUUAAGUCUUGGCAAUAAGGAGUGAGUUCAAGCAUGUACACUUUUUGAGGAGUAGAAAUAAUGUUGAGGAAAUGGAAUGACAAGAUUAUCAUGGAAGAAAGGAGUUGCAAAGUCAUGGAAGGUUUGAAGAAGGCUCUUCAAGGGUGAUCAUCUUCGGGUUACAGUUGUCAUGAGGAAGUGAUCUUUAAGUCAACUAGUGGACAAGGGAGUUUGAGGAUUAGAGUAGCGCAGCAGAUGACGGUGAGCAUAUUGUUGUUAGUAAUAGGUAUGAGAUAGAGGAGAUAAGGGAGUCUAAGGUUUCAAGCUACAAGAUCAACUUUAAAGUGAGGAAGUAUUAAUGGAUCUGGAACGGGAAGAGUGGGUCAGUGGGUGAAGGAGAUGAUAUAAGUUAUGGCUUUGAGUUAUAGUGGCAAUCUGCAGGUAAGAAAAUGUCAACUGAUAGUUUGAACAAAGAAGAGGUUCAAAUUCUGGGUUUGAUAAGGAUUGAGUAAGAAUUGGUUGAAGAAUAUGAAAUUGGGGUCUCUAGUGAAGCUAUAAAGUGAUUUGAAUAGUAUGGUUGAAUUACUAUAACUAGUGAGUUUCUCUGAAUGAUUGAGAAAGUGCAGUUUGGACAAUCCUAGUUUGAGAUGUAUCAU
Molecule: long non-coding RNA, 1616 nt
Filed under: Vigna radiata
Lineage: Eukaryota; Viridiplantae; Streptophyta; Magnoliopsida; Fabales; Fabaceae
Description: long non-coding RNA (VRAD_LNC002850)
Source: RNAcentral